This 802-nucleotide long non-coding RNA is filed under the name Homo sapiens (human). RNAcentral's name for it is "HSALNT0384536". The record is from RNAcentral. Lineage: Eukaryota; Metazoa; Chordata; Mammalia; Primates; Hominidae.
CAUGCGUAGAUAAAAGUAAAUAAACGCCCUCAAGUUAGGAAUGAACGGAGGAAAUGGGUUAAACGAGAAUAAAUAAUUGAAGGCAGAGAGGUAAAGAACUUCCUCUUUCAACGCAUCUCAAAAUUUGGCGUGGAUGCAGAUCACCUACAGAGUAUGAUUAUUCAUCUUUACAUUGCCUUGUUUUGAGAUGAUGAAACUGAGGUUCAAGCCAAUGACAAGCCUGAAGCCACAUGGCUAGUGAGUGGCAGAGUCAGAACUCAAACCCAAAUCCACCUGACCCCAAACUUCAUGUAUCUUGAACUACAGGCUCCAUCUCACUGUUCACACUCUCACCCACCUCCACCCAUCAAAGGUGCCUCUAGACCUUUGCUUGUGUUGUUUGUUCUCUGCCUGACAUGCCUCCCCCUCAGUCGCUCUCAGUUGAAACCUGGCUUAGUCAUCAAGUGCCUGCUCAGCAGCAAGACCUCUUCUCUUCACAGAGCCUUUGUUGAGCCCCACCACUGGAAUUAACCUCUUCCUUCCAGACCAGUUUGGUGGUGCCCCUAAUCCACAGUUUCCCAACCUCAGCCCUACUGACACUGGGGCUGGAUAAUCUUUGUCGUGGGGGCUGUCGUGUGCACUGCAGGAUAUGGAGCAGUACCCCUGCUUUCCACCCACGAGAUGCCAUGGCACCCUCCUCAAGUUGCAACAACCAAAAUAUGUCUUCAGACAUUGCCACUGUCCCCUAGGGUACUAAAUCACCUCUAUGGAGAACCACUGUCCUAAGCUACAAUACUCACUGCCCUCUGUUUUGAGCCAUAAA